Molecule: transfer RNA, 76 nt
Filed under: Pelagibius litoralis
Lineage: Bacteria; Pseudomonadati; Pseudomonadota; Alphaproteobacteria; Rhodospirillales; Rhodovibrionaceae
Description: tRNA-Val
Rfam family: tRNA
About the family: Transfer RNA (tRNA) molecules are approximately 80 nucleotides in length. Their secondary structure includes four short double-helical elements and three loops (D, anti-codon, and T loops).
Source: RNAcentral
GGGCGGUUAGCUCAGCUGGCAGAGCGUCGCGUUUACACCGCGAAUGUCGGCGGUUCGAUCCCGUCACCGCCCACCA